AAAGUCGUAACAAGGUUUCCGUAGGUGAACCUGCGGAAGGAUCAUUAAAAAGUGAGGCCCGUUUGAAGGGCAGCUAGGAAGCCGUUAUUAGCUGUCUAGCUGCCAGUCGUCGUGGCUCACCUGACUUGUUCAGGUACCCUUGCUUCGUUUUUUGAGUACCAUUUUGUUUCCUCGGCAGGCUUGCUUGCCAGUGAGGACCCCAAACCAAACUCUUGCAGUAGCAGUAUCAGUCUGAGAACUAAACAUAAAUAAUUAAAACUUUCAACAACGGAUCUCUUGGUUCUG
This 285-nucleotide unclassified non-coding RNA is filed under the name Ascomycota sp. Its description in RNAcentral is "partial contains small subunit ribosomal RNA, internal transcribed spacer 1, and 5.8S ribosomal RNA". The stretch from base 1 to 47 matches the Rfam family "Eukaryotic small subunit ribosomal RNA", at positions 1785 to 1831 of the family's 1831-position model. The record is from RNAcentral. Lineage: Eukaryota; Fungi; Ascomycota.